Molecule: long non-coding RNA, 1649 nt
Organism: Mytilus californianus (California mussel)
Lineage: Eukaryota; Metazoa; Mollusca; Bivalvia; Mytilida; Mytilidae
Exons: 3
Source: RefSeq, a predicted model, not a curated record
CGAGCCUGCGACUUUUGUCGCAGAAAGCUCGACAUAGGGAUAGCGAUCCGGCGGCGGCGGCUACGGCGGCGGCGGCGUUAGCUAACUUCUUAAAAGCUUUAUAUUUUAGAAGAUGGAAGACCUGGAUGCUUCAUACUUUGUAUAUGGAUGCCUCAUGUUACGAAGUUUCCGUCAGUCACAUGUCCAAUGUCCUUGACCUCAUUUUCAUGGUUCAGUGACUACUUGAAAAAAAAGUUCAGAUUUUUUGUAAUGUUAAAUUCUCUCUUAUUAUAAGUAAUAGGAUAACUAUAUUUGGUAUCUGCGUACCUUGCAAGGUCCUCAUGCCCGUCAGACAGUUUUCACUUGACCUCGACCUCAUUUCAUGGAUCAGUGAACAAGGUUAAGUUUUGGUGGUCAAGUCCAUAUCUCAGAUACUAUAAGCAAUAGGUCUAGUAUAUUCGGUGUAUGGAAGGACUGUAAGGUGUACAUGUCCAACUGGCAGGUGUCAUCUGACCUUGACCUCAUUUUCAUGGUUCAGUGGUUAUAGUUUAGUUUUUGUGUUUUGGUCUGUUUUUCUUAUUCUGUAUGCAAUAGGUCUACUAUAUUUGGUGUAUGGAAUGAUUGUAAGGUGUACAUGUCUAGCUGGCAGGUGUCAUCUGACCUUGACCUCAUUUUCAUGGUUUAGUGGUCAAAGUUAAGUUUUUGAGUUUUGGUCUUUUUUUCUAAUACUGCAUGCAAUAGGUCAGCUAUAUUUGGUGUAUGGAAUGAUUGUAAGGUGUACAUGUCUAGCUGGCAGGUGUCAUCUGACCUUGACCUCAUUUUCAUGGUUCAGUGGUUAUAGUUUAGUUUUUGUCGAGCCUGCGACUUUUGUCGCAGAAAGCUCGACAUAGGGAUAGCGAUCCGGCGGCGGCGGCGGCGGCGGCGGCGUUAGCUAACUUCUUAAAAGCUUUAUAUUUUAGAAGAUGGAAGACCUGGAUGCUUCAUACUUUGUAUAUGGAUGCCUCAUGUUACGAAGUUUCCGUCAGUCACAUGUCCAAUGUCCUUGACCUCAUUUUCAUGGUUCAGUGACUACUUGAAAAAAAAGUUCAGAUUUUUUGUAAUGUUAAAUUCUCUCUUAUUAUAAGUAAUAGGAUAACUAUAUUUGGUAUGUGCGUACCUUGCAAGGUCCUCAUGCCCGCCAGACAGUUUUCACUUGACCUCGACCUCAUUUCAUGGAUCAGUAAACAAGGUUAAGUUUUCGUGGUCAAGUCCAUAUCUCAGAUACUAUAAGCAAUAGGUCUAGUAUAUUCGGUGUAUGGAAGGACUGUAAGGUGUACAUGUCCAACUGGCAGGUGUCAUCUGACCUUGACCUCAUUUUUAUGGUUCAGUGGUUAUAGUUAAGUUUUUGUGUUUUGGUCUGUUUUUCUUAUACUGUAUGCAAUAGGUCUACUAUAUUUGGUGUAUGGAAUGAUUGUAAGGUGUACAUGUCUAGCUGGCAGGUGUCAUCUGACCUUGACCUCAUUUUCAUGGUUUAGUGGUCAAAGUUAAGUUUUUGAGUUUUGGUCUUUUUUUCUAAUACUGCAUGCAAUAGGUCAGCUAUAUUUGGUGUAUGGAAUGAUUGUAAGGUGUACAUGUCUAGCUGGCAGGUGUCAUCUUACCUUGACCUCAUUUUCAUGGUUCAGUGGUCAAAG